UUGAAAAUUGAGGUGAGCCUUAGAUUUGAUAGUGCAUUAGACUUUAAUUUCACAUGCUCAAGAAGGGUUUUAGCAUUAGUUUCUUAAGCGGCUAUCCACCUACAUAUGAAGGAUGACAAAUCUUUAAAAAACGGUUUGUGGUUUUGCACAGACACUUAUUUUUCAAAUAUUUUUUUAAAAUCCCACAUGAGAUGAUCAAACUUUUCUGAAUGUCUAAAGUGUUUCUUUAGAUCCAUUCUUUGUUGGUGUUAUGUACCUUCAAGUUGUUUUUGAUUUAUGGUGAUCAAGUUUUAGAGUUGGUAAUAUUUAUUCACAAGAGGGUGGCCUUUGCCUUUCUCUGAGACUGUGGCGCAUGUGACUGGCCCAAGGUCUCCCAAUGAUUUCAGCUUACACUUGUACCUUUAAAAAAAAUCAGUUUCAUUUCCUGUAAUUUGAAUCGAUUGCUCUGGAACAGUGGAAAACAAGAUUGCUUUAUCUUCGGUAUGACAUCAUUUCCAAUAUUUAAACAUGGCUAAAAUGCAUCUCUUAAUCUUCUCUUCUCCAGGCUAAACAUAAACAUUUCCAUAAACCGCAUCAAAUAGGGCAUGGUUUCCGUUUUGGUCAAAUUCUGAACAUGUUACAGCUUGUCAAUAUUCUUCUUGAAUUAUGUUGCCCAGAAGUAGACACAGUAUUCCAGGUCCUCACAAUAUUCCGGGUCUGACCAAAGCAUAAUAGAGUGGCAGUUUUAUUUCCCUCAAUCUAGAUACCGUACUCUUUUUGGCCCCUUCUACACUUCCAUAUAAUCCACAUUAUUAAAACAGAUAAUCCACAUUAUCUUCUUUUGAAUUAGAUUAUAUGAGUCUACGCUGCCAUAUAAUCCAGUUCAAAGCAGAUAAUCUGGAUUUUAUAUGGCAGUGUAGAAGGGGCCUAGAAUCACAGUGAUUUUUAAAGCUGUUGAUUCAUGUUCAGUUUAUGAUCUACUAAGAAUUUUAGAUCAGUGAGUAUUUAAGGCAAUAUUUUUAUAGCACUAUGUUUCUAAUUUAAGCACCGUGGCAGAACCUUGGGGUUUAUAGUUUGUGGAGGUGUUAAAGUGUUCUGCUAUGAAACCAUGGUAGUCAAAACUGAAUCACAAUGCUAUAAUUCUGAAGUGUGCAAAGGAUCUUGUUGUUGGCCAGUAAUGCACAUGCCUCUGACAACGCUGAUGCAAUAGUGAAGUGUUUUAAACAUAUUGUCCAGUUUUACAUAUAGGCCUGAAAUAGAGAGAAACUGGGGCAUUUCCCAAACAUGGCUCUGGGAUUAGGCUUUCGGUGAUUAGUACAGUGCAAUAAUAGACUUGGAAUUAUGUGUAAUUGAUGAAGGAACGGCCUUGGACUAUGAUUUUCAGGCUCCUUGGCUGUCUGGGAGAAAAAUUUUCCAGUCCAUGGAAAAUUCCGCAGUAUUCUAUUAGACAAUCCUCCCAACUUUCCUGUGAAGAUAGAGAGAUUGAGAGAGAAAAUAAGAAAGCAAGCAAGCAAGCAAUUUGGAAAUUAAGACGAAAAUCUUAAUGUUACCAGAUCAAAGAGAAAUGAGCUAGAAGAUGCACUGUCCAUUUGUGCUUGAGUUGCUUGGAAUUGCAGAAAUGUGAUGGACUAGUGAAGAAAAUGGCAAAGUUGGAUAUUUACAAGAUGAGAAUGAGAACCUGGGGCAGCCUUGGAAAACAGGCUGACGGGCUGACCUUCAGUGAUUUUGAGAACUUUCCCUUAGUUUUCAAAAGUCUUGUCUUCUAUCUUCAGUCUCAUUAACUUCUGCAUCUGACAAAUCAUCCUCAGAAGACAGUUUCUUGGAGAAAGGUUGCUGUGGGCCUCUCUCAGGAAUGUGACCUUGAGAAGCACUCCAUUCCUCGGGCCUCUCAGCGAGGCCUGGACUUGACUCAGACCCAGGAAAACCUUCAUCCCCAGUGACAUCAGACACAGGCACAGGAAAACCAUCAUCCUCAUUGACAUCAGACAUAAUCACAGGCUGAACUACAACACCAAAUUUCUAGCAUUUUGCAGUGAGACCUUCAAAAUCAAUCACAACUAGAAUCCUAUACUUGCUGUGUUCACAUUCCCUUGAUAACUUUGUUUGCCCCUUUUGUUUCAUGUCUAAAGUGUAUUUGUAAAAGCUCAGCUGAAGUUUCAAGUUACUGUAAUAUGAGAAAACUGAGAGCCGAAUAAAAUUUUCAUUUGGGGAGACAGAA
Molecule: long non-coding RNA, 2197 nt
Organism: Anolis carolinensis (green anole)
Lineage: Eukaryota; Metazoa; Chordata; Lepidosauria; Squamata; Anolidae
Exons: 5
Source: RefSeq, a predicted model, not a curated record